AGGAAGUAAAAGUCGUAACAAGUCUCCGUUGGUGAACCAGCGGAGGGAUCAUUACUGAGUUUACGCUCUAUAACCCUUUGUGAACAUACCUAUAACUGUUUGCUUCGGCGGGUAGGGUCUCCGCGACCCUCCCGGCCUCCCGCCUCCGGGCGGGUCGGCGCCCGCCGGAGGAUAACCAAACUCUGAUUUAACGACGUUUCUUCUGAGUGGUACAAGCAAAUAAUCAAAACUUUUAACAACGGAUCUCUUGGUUCUGGCAUCGAUGAAGAACGCAGCGAAAUGCGAUAAGUAAUGUGAAUUGCAGAAUUCAGUGAAUCAUCGAAUCUUUGAACGCACAUUGCGCCCGCCAGCAUUCUGGCGGGCAUGCCUGUUCGAGCGUCAUUUCAACCCUCAAGCUCUGCUUGGUGUUGGGGCCCUACAGCUGAUGUAGGCCCUCAAAGGUAGUGGCGGACCCUCCCGGAGCCUCCUUUGCGUAGUAACUUUACGUCUCGCACUGGGAUCCGGAGGGACUCUUGCCGUAAAACCCCCCAAUUUUCCAAAGGUUGACCUCGGAUCAGGUAGGAAUACCCGCUGAACUUAAGCAUAUC
RNAcentral lists this ribosomal RNA (587 nucleotides) under Colletotrichum gloeosporioides. Its description in RNAcentral is "eukaryotic LSU rRNA". The stretch from base 228 to 381 matches the Rfam family "5.8S ribosomal RNA". Lineage: Eukaryota; Fungi; Ascomycota; Sordariomycetes; Glomerellales; Glomerellaceae. The record is from RNAcentral.